UACGGAGGGUGCAAGCGUUAAUCGGAAUCACUGGGCGUAAAGCGCACGUAGGUGGUUUGAUAAGUAGUCUGUGAAAGCCCCGGGCUUAACCCGGGAACUGCAGACUAAACUGUCUCACUCGAGAUCAGUAGAGGGAGGUGGAAUUCCUGGUGUAGCGGUGAAAUGCGUAGAUAUCAGGAAGAACACCGGUGGCGAAGGCGACCUCCUGGACUGCAUCUGACACUGAGGUGCGAAAGCGUGGGGAGCGAACAGG
RNAcentral lists this ribosomal RNA (253 nucleotides) under uncultured bacterium. RNAcentral describes it as "partial 16S ribosomal RNA". It matches the Rfam family "Bacterial small subunit ribosomal RNA", at positions 524 to 776 of the family's 1533-position model. The record is from RNAcentral.